Long non-coding RNA from Vigna angularis (adzuki bean), 3016 nucleotides. RefSeq lists it as uncharacterized. The record is from RefSeq and is a predicted model, not a curated record. The transcript has 6 exons. NCBI's taxonomy places the organism in Eukaryota, Viridiplantae, Streptophyta, Magnoliopsida, Fabales, Fabaceae.
GCUUGGAAGAUUUCUGGAAAACUCUGAAAAUAUUUUAGGACAUUUUGAAGAACAUUCAUUUGCACACAAUGAUUGAUUAAAUUGAAGAGAAGCAACUCGUUAAUGAUGAAGCACAUUCUCAUUUCUUUUAUCUAUAAGCAAGCACAUAGCACACGGCCUUUCCUUGAUUGAAGAAAAUUAUGAAGACAUGGGACAUGCUGGGGGAACCACUCACGGUUAUUUCUAUGAAUCAUAAUCAAUGAAUAUUAAAUGAAUUGGAGAUGCACGGCAAACCAUCCCAUGUAAUUCUUGAAAGUUAUGAAGCAUAAUGGAGGGGCACAUACAACAUCUCUCACGUGUUUGGAAGAUAGCAAGUUGCUGGAAAAUUCAUUUGCCAAGAGAUUAUCAAAGCUUGAAGUCAAAGUGGGAGCCACCUCCUUGGUGAAGAAGCAUUCACGGCAAAACAAAUGAAGAGUAUUGUUUAUUUUAAGUGGGAGACAACAUGUAGGGCCACCAUUGGAGGAGAAACCAAAUUGGCUUGAAAGAUGUAGAGACAUCACACGGUCCCAUAGGGUCACACGUCCAGCACAAUUGAUUGAAAGGAGUGGAAGAAAAGCUUUGCUAAAGAUUAAACAUUCUUGGCUUGGUUUUGGAGAAAGAGGCUGUAACGGAAAGGAAGAUGGAACCAGCCACUUGUUGAUUGGAGAAGAGAAGCCAGCAAGCGGUGCAGCUCCGUCCAUGCAUCCAGCCAUCUCCACCAGUCCAGCACUUAGCAUGUCACGGUAUUCCAGCAGUGUAGUAGGAGCUGUGAGCUGAAGACAAGCCAACGAAAGAGUGAAGAGCAACUGAUCCAAAGCCAGCACCUUGAGAGGAAGAAAUUCACGGUGGUGCAGCAACCCAGCAAGUUUCACAGUGGCUGUUGGAAGAAAAGGAAGAAGCUGCAGCUACCUACACGGUCCAGCCAUCUCCAAUCCAGUGGGGGAGAUGCUUCCCUGUCCAGCAAGUCGGCAGCAGCACUCAACCAGCAACAAACGUCCAGGAGCUUUCCAGUGGUAACAACAUCACUCACGGCUGGAGGCAGCAGCGGGGAAGGAGAUGCGUCCAGCUCCAUCACGGUCCAAUAUCCAGCAAGUCUAGACAGUAGUGGCUUCUUGGACAGCAGCGUUCAAACAUAAACAAGCUGGAUAUGUAACGGCUGGAAUAAAAGAGCAGCCAGCUUUUAUGAAGAGUCCAACACGUUGAGCUGGAAGCAUGGCAGUGCACGGUGGCUGCUGGAAUUGAAGAAAGGAAGCACGCUGGAAGAAAUGCCUCAAAGCUGCUGUCACGCCACUACAAAAAAAAUGGUAUUUAAGGGAGGUUAUUUUGCGGAGGUUAUAAAAACCCUCCGCAAAUUAAUAUGAUUUAAUUUGGUUCUAUUGAAUUGUGAAAGGCCUAAUGAUAGCGGAAGUUUUAAGUUCUUUUUAAAGAGGUUCAUAACUAACCAAAUUAUAAUACAUUUUUCUUUUUAUUUUUUUUCGUUUUUCAGUCUUUUUCUUCCAAAAUUUUAUCUUACUUUAUUUUUUCUCCAAAUUCCUAAACCUAAACUUAACUUCAUCAAACACUUCCUUUUUCUCAUGUAUCAUCUACACUCUUUGAGCCGUCUUCCCGUCACAGCCAUUCUCGACCAGAAAAAGCGUAAUGACGACCCACUGUAAAGUGCUGAGAAGGUGAUCUUGUAGAGGAGCUUGAUGUCGCCUAUCAUGAAGGUGGUGAGGAGUUCGGGGUCGACGUUGGACUAGACGAGGGAGUCGUAGACUUGGGAGACGCAUAUACAGUCAAAGGGGUUUUCAGUUCUAUGUUUUCCAUUUUUGAUUCAAAACUCAAAUCUUAAAACUCUUCCCCAAACCUCUCUUUUAGGUUUAGGUUUCAUGUUUCAGAGGCUUUACCUUUCACUAGUAUCCUCAAAUUCGUGAAAUCAUAAAACCCUAAUCGAAGAUGAGACAGUUCUCAAACGCCUCUGCACUUAUCGCGGCCACAACGGAUAUUCUGGUUAACUCAUAACAGGGAGUGGGGAUUAUUGCUGCCUUGUAUGUGUUUGAUGAAAUUCCUAGGUUAAGUGCAAUACAUUUUUGUUGCCCACCAUCGUUCUUCUAAUAAGAAAGGCGUUUUUAUAGUGUAAUUAGUGCUUUGUAUGCAAAUUUUGAACAAUACUACACCAUAUUUUGGAAGUAGUGGUUGAUGGGUCAGUAAGGGAUGUAUGGAUCCCUCUUAAAAGAGUGCGUUCUGGAGAAUUAAGACUUCGAAUAUCAAUUAGAGUGGAUGACCAAGAAGGACCGAAGGGUUCGGGUUUUGGCUCAAGCAAUGGUUGGAUUGAACUUGUCCUGGGAAGGGAUUGUUAUUGUCUAUCUCAAAGGCAUAAGUGAUCCAUAUGUGAGGGUACACUACGAAAACUUUAAGAAACAGACAAAGUUUGGAAUACUCACAGGUUACUCUAGCUGCCUAUAUUGAACUUUUGUGCACUUUACUUAGUGCUGGAGUCCAGGCUAAUGCAAAAAGAUACGGUCCAGUUAUAUCCACCAUUCCUCAGCAGCUAUCCAGAUUUUAGUUUAAAAUGAUCACUAAUUGAACGUAAAUUUGAAGCUCACAUGCUGAUAAAUCAAGGUGAUAAAGAAGUGCCUUUUGUUCAUGUCUGUUGCUUCUGCCCUCCUCAGGUUGCCAGUAUUGAUGUGGAAAGGGGCAUUGGUUUUCGUUGCAAGUUUUUCUGGUGAAAGGCAUUGAAGGGCAAAAAGUAUGCAUUUGAAAUUCAAAUAUUGGAAGUUGUUGAUACAAAUGAGUUGGAGUUUUCUUUGAGUACAAGAGGAUUAUCUCAUGCUAGGGGGUUUAUGAUGUGUUUUUAGGAUAUAAUUAUAUUUAGUCUAUUAUGUAUUUUUGACAAUGUUAGAGUUUUUGGUCAAUCUUGUAACUUUAUUUAAAUAUUAUGUAUUUUUUUUGUAUUUACAUUGUAAUUAUUAAUGAAUGUAUGUUAUUUUAAAUCAUCAAUGAAAUUAAUUUUGAAUUA